GACGAACGCUGGCGGCGUGCCUAAUACAUGCAAGUAGAACGCUGAAGGAGGAGCUUGCUUCUCUGGAUGAGUUGCGAACGGGUGAGUAACGCGUAGGUAACCUGCCUGGUAGCGGGGGAUAACUAUUGGAAACGAUAGCUAAUACCGCAUAACAGUAGAUGUUGCAUGACAUUUGCUUAAAAGGUGCAAUUGCAUCACUACCAGAUGGACCUGCGUUGUAUUAGCUAGUUGGUGGGGUAACGGCUCACCAAGGCGACGAUACAUAGCCGACCUGAGAGGGUGAUCGGCCACACUGGGACUGAGACACGGCCCAGACUCCUACGGGAGGCAGCAGUAGGGAAUCUUCGGCAAUGGACGGAAGUCUGACCGAGCAACGCCGCGUGAGUGAAGAAGGUUUUCGGAUCGUAAAGCUCUGUUGUAAGAGAAGAACGAGUGUGAGAGUGGAAAGUUCACACUGGACGGUAUCUACCAGAAAGGA
This 478-nucleotide ribosomal RNA is filed under the name Streptococcus mitis. RNAcentral describes it as "bacterial SSU rRNA". It matches the Rfam family "Bacterial small subunit ribosomal RNA", at positions 28 to 492 of the family's 1533-position model. Lineage: Bacteria; Bacillati; Bacillota; Bacilli; Lactobacillales; Streptococcaceae. The record is from RNAcentral.